UACGUAGGUGGCAAGCGUUGUCCGGAUUUUUUGGGUUUAAAGGGUGCGUAGGCGGCCCUGUAUGUCAGUGGUGAAAUACUCCAGCUUAACUGGAGGGGUGCCAUUGAUACUGCAGGGCUUGAGUGGAGUCGAAGUAGGCGGAAUUGACGGUGUAGCGGUGAAAUGCUUAGAUAUCGUCAAGAACACCGAUAGUGAAGACAGCUUACUAGGCUUCUACUGACGCUGAGGCACGAAAGUGUGGGGAUCAAACAGG
This 253-nucleotide ribosomal RNA is filed under the name uncultured bacterium. RNAcentral describes it as "partial 16S ribosomal RNA". It matches the Rfam family "Bacterial small subunit ribosomal RNA", at positions 524 to 776 of the family's 1533-position model. The record is from RNAcentral.